AUGUUAAUGCUGCCCCUGAGUCUCCAGCAGAGGAUGCUCUGAACAGGGCUGCAGCAGAAGAAGUUUCAUCUGGCACCGAGAGCUGCAGGAACAGUUCCCCAGAGCAUGAGGAGCCUGAUUCCAUCUGAGCUGCCUCUCCAGGAGGGCUGCCCUGUGUGGCAGGAAGAGACAGAGGGAGGGCCUGUGACCAUCGGGCAGCUGGCGGCCGGGCUGGGCAGAGCAGCAGUUCCAGCCCCGGGUGUCCCUGGAGCAGUGGGAGCUGCCGCUGGCCCCAGGAACUGUCCCCUGAGGAGCUGCUGAGGGACGUGAAGACCUUGAAGACAGCAGGAGGAGUGACAGGAGCCAGCAGGGAGAAGCCAAAGGCCAGGAGCAAGAGCAGUGAGCAGGGAGCUGCUGGUGCCAUGCGAGAGCCAUGGAUGUCCCAUCUGCUGUCCCUGUCCAGAAGAGCUGCUCUGCACGGGAGGAAGAGACCGAGGGAGAGCCUGGGAACAUCGGUGGCUGCAAUCCCUCCUGCUGGAGUUCUAGUUACAGAUGUGUAGAGUUCAACUGAGAUAGCUGGAAGUUUAUGGAUAUUUACCUAUGUUGACAGAUGUUUGUAUAGGCAUAUAUGUAUGUGUAUUGUUAUACUGAUCCAUGUAUAUUAAUCUGUUCACAUCUGGGUUUAUAUUUACAUACUUGUGCGGUUGUAUAGCUGUGUAAUUCUGUUGAUAGGGUUGUAAGGAUCAUGGCACAUUGAUAUUUGUAUAUUUAUAGAUAGGUUUGUUAUGUGUGUAUUUAUGUACAUCUUGCUUUAUGUCAUUUGAAAUAUUAAUUAUAUAUUUACAUCUGUAUGUUGUAUGGUUAUGUAUUUACAGAUAUUUAAAUAUAUGUUGAGUAGUAUAGUUAUAUAAUUCUAUGUGUUUAGUUCUGAGUCUGGGAUUCUUUAGAGAGGGAUAUUGACAUUUUUGUAUUUGUAUACGGGCUGUACAGUUGUAGUAAUAUGUAAUAAAUUAAGCUGUUAAACUUCAUAUUUGUGUAUAGCGAGUGGUUGUAGAGGGUUGCAAUAAAUUAACUGUUUUAACUGAAGUGCAUAUUUGUAUAUAUCUACAUAGCACAAUUUUAAAAAUAAAUUAGUUUCUUAAAGAAAUAUUUGUAUGUUUAUAUAU
Molecule: long non-coding RNA, 1145 nt
Organism: Catharus ustulatus (Swainson's thrush)
Lineage: Eukaryota; Metazoa; Chordata; Aves; Passeriformes; Turdidae
Exons: 5
Source: RefSeq, a predicted model, not a curated record